AGAGUUUGAUCAUGGCUCAGAACGUACGCUGGCGGCACGCCUAACACAUGCAAGUCGAACGAAGUAGCAAUACUUAGUGGCAGACGGGUGAGUAACAUGUGGGUAUCUGCCCUUUGGCCUGGAAUAACACGAGGAAACUUGUGCUAAUACCGGAUAAGUCUUUACGGAGAAAGCUUUAUGCACCAUUGGAUGAGCCCGCACUUGAUUAGUUUGUUGGUGGGGUAAUGGCCUACCAAGACUGUGAUCAAUAGCUGAUUUGAGAGGAUGAUCAGCCACAUUGGGACUGAGACACGGCCCAAACUCCUACGGGAGGCAGCAGUGGGGAAUCUUGCACAAUGGAGGAAACUCUGAUGCAGCGAUGCCGCGUGAGUGAAGAAGGCCCUUGGGUUGUAAAGCUCUUUCGUCGGGGAAGAAAAUGACUGUACCCGAAUAAGAAGGUCCGGCUAACUUCGUGCCAGCAGCCGCGGUAAUACGAAGGGACCUAGCGUAGUUCGGAAUUACUGGGCUUAAAGAGUUCGUAGGUGGUUGAAAAAGUUGGUGGUGAAAUCCCAGAGCUUAACUCUGGAACUGCCAUCAAAACUUUUCAGCUAGAGUAUGAUAGAGGAAAGCAGAAUUUCUAGUGUAGAGGUGAAAUUCGUAGAUAUUAGAAAGAAUACCAAUUGCGAAGGCAGCUUUCUGGAUCAUUACUGACACUGAGGAACGAAAGCAUGGGUAGCGAAGAGGAUUAGAUACCCUCGUAGUCCAUGCCGUAAACGAUGUGUGUUAGACGUUGGAAAUUUAUUUUCAGUGUCGCAGCGAAAGCGAUAAACACACCGCCUGGGGAGUACGACCGCAAGGUUAAAACUCAAAUGAAUUGACGGGGACCCGCACAAGUAGUGGAGCAUGUGGUUUAAUUCGAAGAUACGCGCAGAACCUUACCAACACUUGACAUGUUCGUCGCGACUCUAAGAGAUUAGAGUUUUCGGUUCGGCCGGACGAAACACAGGUGCUGCAUGGCUGUCGUCAGCUCGUGUCGUGAGAUGUUGGGUUAAGUCCCGCAACGAGCGCAACCCUCACUUUUAGUUGCCAUCAUUAAGUUGGGCACUCUGAAAGAACUGCCAGUGAUAAGCUGGAGGAAGGUGGGGAUGACGUCAAGUCCUCAUGGCCCUUACGUGUUGGGCUACACACGUGCUACAAUGGUAUCUACAACAGGAAGCAAGACUGCGAAGUUAAGCAAAUCCCUAAAAGAUACCUCAGUUCGGAUUGCACUCUGCAACUCGAGUGCAUGAAGCUGGAAUUACUAGUAAUCGUGGAUCAGCGUGCCACGGUGAAUGCGUUCCCGGGUCUUGUACACACCGCCCGUCACACCAUGGGAGUUGGUUCUACCUUAAGGCAAGGUUUCAAACCCUUGACCACGGUAUAGUCAGCGACUGGGGUGAAGUCAUAACAAGGUAACCGUA
This 1439-nucleotide ribosomal RNA is filed under the name uncultured bacterium. Its description in RNAcentral is "bacterial SSU rRNA". It matches the Rfam family "Bacterial small subunit ribosomal RNA". The record is from RNAcentral.